RNAcentral lists this transfer RNA (76 nucleotides) under Candidatus Shapirobacteria bacterium CG_4_10_14_0_8_um_filter_39_15. Its description in RNAcentral is "tRNA-Val". It matches the Rfam family "tRNA". Rfam says of the family: Transfer RNA (tRNA) molecules are approximately 80 nucleotides in length. RNAcentral also lists the same sequence under 2 other names. The record is from RNAcentral. Lineage: Bacteria; Candidatus Shapironibacteriota.
GGGUACGUAGCUCAGCGGCUGGAGCGCCUGAUUCACAUUCAGGAGGCCGAAGGUUCAAGUCCUUCCGUACCCACCU